This 91-nucleotide transfer RNA is filed under the name Acetatifactor sp. Its description in RNAcentral is "tRNA-Glu". It matches the Rfam family "tRNA". From Rfam's summary of the family: Transfer RNA (tRNA) molecules are approximately 80 nucleotides in length. Their secondary structure includes four short double-helical elements and three loops (D, anti-codon, and T loops). Lineage: Bacteria; Bacillati; Bacillota; Clostridia; Lachnospirales; Lachnospiraceae. RNAcentral also lists the same sequence under 2 other names. The record is from RNAcentral.
GGUCCCCUAGUCUAAAGGUAAAGGAACUUUAGUUCCUUGGACACACGGCCUUUCAAGCCGGAAAUGCAGGGUUCAAGUCCCGUGGGGAUCA